UACGUAGGGUGCGAGCGUUGUCCGGAAUUACUGGGCGUAAAGCGCGCGUAGGCGGUUUGGAAAGUCAGAUGUGAAAGCCCCGGGCUCAACUUGGGAACUGCAUUUGAUACUGCCAGACUAGAGUACAGAAGAGGUGACUGGAAUUCCCAGUGUAGCGGUGGAAUGCGCAGAUAUCAGGAGGAACACCGGUGGCGAAAGCGGCUUCCUGGACCAGUACUGACGUUCAUGUGCGAAAGCGUGGGGAGCAAACAGG
RNAcentral lists this ribosomal RNA (253 nucleotides) under uncultured bacterium. RNAcentral describes it as "partial 16S ribosomal RNA". It matches the Rfam family "Bacterial small subunit ribosomal RNA", at positions 524 to 776 of the family's 1533-position model. The record is from RNAcentral.